Cyprinus carpio (common carp) is the source of this 773-nucleotide long non-coding RNA. NCBI's taxonomy places the organism in Eukaryota, Metazoa, Chordata, Actinopteri, Cypriniformes, Cyprinidae. The record is from Ensembl.
AUGGUUGUGUAUUACGCUCUUAGUUUCACUCCUUUGAACUCUAAAACCCUCUUAGUGAGAGAGUCGUGGCGAUAUGAGAGAUGGCGCUACACUGUUGUAAUAAGUAACUGUAAAUGUUACUGUACAGGGUCUGGAGUCACACACGUGUGUCCUUCAGUGUCCAUCUGUCUGUCUGCUGUCUGGAAGACACUGACUUCUGUCUUUCCCCUUAGAGUUGCAGCCAAUGGGUUCAUAGAGAUGGACGCUGACUCUAUGGAUUUUCCUCUCUCUGUUGAGGAGACCCGACCAGAACCAGUCCAGAGUUCAGUGCGUCCGUGUCCAUUCACUCACAGAGGAUGAUGAGGAUGAUGAGGAUGAUGAUGAAGAUGACCAGCUUCAGGGGUCAAUAGAUAAACCGAUGUGCUGGACAUUCACAUUUUUCUUCACUUUGUAUGAAAUGGUUUCUGUGAACACUUAUUAAAACUAUGAUUAUUAAAUGAAAUUUCAUUUUUUUUUUUUACAUUUCCAUCUUUAGAUCUGUUUGCUCAUCUCUAAAUUAACGACUACAGGACGUUUCCUAUCAGAUGUCAAAUAGACGUUUAGAAGAUGUCUUUAAGAUGUUUAUGAUUUAAAAUGAAUUUAAAACUGACGUCUUAAAGACGUCUACACAGCAGAUGUUUUCCAGAUGAAGAGAUCCUUAAUAGACCUCUUGCAGACAUGCGUGUGCUAUCUGGAAAAGCAUUUGCUAUUGAUUAAAAGGAAAAAUUUAAAUAAAUAAUUUAAAGAUGAAACCA